GGGGAUUUAGCUCAGUGGUAGAGUGCUUGCCUAGCAAGCGCAAGGCUCUGGGUUCGGUCCCCAGCUCCA
Rattus norvegicus (Norway rat) is the source of this 69-nucleotide non-coding RNA. NCBI's taxonomy places the organism in Eukaryota, Metazoa, Chordata, Mammalia, Rodentia, Muridae. The record is from Rfam.